This 253-nucleotide ribosomal RNA is filed under the name uncultured Dethiobacter sp. RNAcentral describes it as "partial 16S ribosomal RNA". It matches the Rfam family "Bacterial small subunit ribosomal RNA", at positions 524 to 776 of the family's 1533-position model. Lineage: Bacteria; Bacillati; Bacillota; Dethiobacteria; Dethiobacterales; Dethiobacteraceae. The record is from RNAcentral.
UACGUAGGGGGCGAGCGUUGUCCGGAAUUACUGGGCGUAAAGGGCGUGUAGGCGGCCGAUCAAGUCAGGUGUGAAAAAUCAGGGCUUAACCCUGAUCGUGCACUUGAAACUGGUUGGCUUGAGUGCAGGAGAGGAAAGUGGAAUUCCCAGUGUAGCGGUGAAAUGCGUAGAUAUUAGGAGGAACACCGGUGGCGAAGGCGGCUUACUGGACUGUAACUGACGCUGAGUCACGAAAGCGUGGGUAGCAAACAGG